CCGAACCAGGGCGAUGGAGUUCGCCCGGAACCGCCUGUCGAACGGACGGCUGAUGACUCCUGCUUGCGC
RNAcentral lists this non-coding RNA (69 nucleotides) under Deltaproteobacteria bacterium. RNAcentral describes it as "Fluoride sequence". It matches the Rfam family "Fluoride riboswitch aptamer (crcB RNA motif)". The record is from RNAcentral. Lineage: Bacteria; Pseudomonadati; Myxococcota; Myxococcia.